RNAcentral lists this ribosomal RNA (269 nucleotides) under uncultured bacterium. RNAcentral's name for it is "partial 16S ribosomal RNA". It matches the Rfam family "Bacterial small subunit ribosomal RNA", at positions 84 to 354 of the family's 1533-position model. The record is from RNAcentral.
AAUCUGUCUUAGUGGCGGACGGGUGAGUAACGCGUGGGCAACCUGCCCUGUACCGGGGGAUAACACUUAGAAGUAGGUGCUAAUACCGCAUAAUAGGGAAUACCGCAUGGUAAUCCUUUGAAAACUCCGGUGGUACAGGAUGGGCCCGCGUCUGAUUAGCCAGUUGGCGGGGUAACGGCCCACCAAAGCGACGAUCAGCAGCCGGCCUGAGAGGGUGGACGGCCACACUGGGACUGAGACACGGCCCAGACUCCUACGGAAGGCAGCAG